RNAcentral lists this ribosomal RNA (609 nucleotides) under Gnetum gnemonoides. RNAcentral's name for it is "eukaryotic LSU rRNA". It matches the Rfam family "Eukaryotic large subunit ribosomal RNA", at positions 23 to 649 of the family's 3401-position model. The record is from RNAcentral. Lineage: Eukaryota; Viridiplantae; Streptophyta; Gnetopsida; Gnetales; Gnetaceae.
GACACCCGCUGAGUUUAAGCAUAUAACUAAGCGGAGGAAGAGAAACUUACGAGGAUUCCCCUAGUAACGGCGAGCGAACCGGGAAAUGCCCAGCGUGAAAAUCCGGCGGCGGCGGCCGCCCGAAUUGUAGUCUGCAGAAGCGUCCCCUGCGGCGGACCGGGCCUGAGUCCCCUGGAACGGGGCGCCGGAGAGGGUGACAGCCCCGUCGGGCUCGGACCCUGCUGCAUCACGGGGCGCUAUCGGCGAGUCGGGCUGUUUGGGAAUGCAGCCCCAAGCGGGCGGUAAACUCCGUCCAAGGCUAAAUACGUGCGAGGGACCGAUAGCGAACAAGUACCGCGAGGGAAAGAUGAAAAGGACUUUGAAAAGAGAGUUAAACAGUGCUUGAAAUUGUCGGGGGGGAAGCGCGUGGAGGCCAACGUUGCCUCCCGGCCGGACGUGGAACGGGGCGCGUGCGCCUCGGUCCGCCGCUCGGUCCGGGAGGCGAGUCCGCGUGGAUCGACGCCGCGGCACAAGCGCGCGCAGCGGGCUGCGCGCGUUCCGCCGCUGCGACGAUCGAGGGUCCAAGCGCGCGCCCCUUCGCGGGGCGGGCCUCGCGGCGCCUGCGCGCUC